This 253-nucleotide ribosomal RNA is filed under the name uncultured bacterium. RNAcentral describes it as "partial 16S ribosomal RNA". It matches the Rfam family "Bacterial small subunit ribosomal RNA", at positions 524 to 776 of the family's 1533-position model. The record is from RNAcentral.
UACAGAGGGUGCAAGCGUUGUUCGGAUUUACUGGGCGUAAAGCGUGCGUAGGCGGUAUUGAGAGUCAUAGGUGAAAUCCCAGGGCUUAACCCUGGAACUGCCCGUGAGACCUCAGUACUAGAGUGUGAGAGGGGAUGGUGGAAUUCCUAGUGUAGCGGUGAAAUGCGUAGAGAUUAGGAGGAACACCGGUGGCGAAGGCGACCAUCUGGCUCACAACUGACGCUCAGGCACGAAAGCAUGGGUAGCAAACAGG